AGACUAGUAUCAACGGCAUCACGAAGACUACACUGUCUCCUCCAUAUAAUCAAUGAAACUGAUCUCCUCGUGAAGAAGCGAGGAUAUAUAUAUAAGACGAGAAGACCCCAUGGAGCUUAAAACAAAUUUCAAUUGCUCCCACCUAAAUCAUAAAAGCUGAGCAUUUCUGAUAAACAGUUUUAGGUUGGGGCGACCGCGGAGUAAAACAAAACCUCCACAAUGAACGUAAUAUAAUCCUAAUAAAAGAACUACAAUUCUAAUAAUCAACAUAUUGACACAAAUUGACCCAAAUAUUUGAUCAAUGAACCAAGUUACCCUGGGGAUAACAGCGCAAUCCAUUUUAAGAGCCCUUAUCGACAAAUGGGUUUACGACCUCGAUGUUGGAUCAGGGUAUCCCAGUGGUGCAGCCGCUACUAAUGUGUUCGUUUGUUCAACGAUUAAAACCCUACGUGAUCUG
RNAcentral lists this ribosomal RNA (457 nucleotides) under Leptopelis argenteus (Bagamoyo forest treefrog). RNAcentral describes it as "partial large subunit ribosomal RNA". It matches the Rfam family "Bacterial large subunit ribosomal RNA", at positions 1984 to 2607 of the family's 2925-position model. The record is from RNAcentral. Lineage: Eukaryota; Metazoa; Chordata; Amphibia; Anura; Arthroleptidae.